Molecule: unclassified non-coding RNA, 268 nt
Filed under: Hevea brasiliensis (rubber tree)
Lineage: Eukaryota; Viridiplantae; Streptophyta; Magnoliopsida; Malpighiales; Euphorbiaceae
Source: RNAcentral
GGGGGGGAGGGAGGAGAGGUGUGCGGGGGGCACAGAGGAAAAGAAUCCAUGAUAACUAGUUUAGUCGUAUGUCAGGGAGAAGAAAGAGAGGAGUGAAACCACCUUUCCAUCAUUUGGGAGAGAAGGAGAAAAAAGAGAUCAGAAAAUUUAAUAGAAACUAACCACCAUGGUUUUAAAUUGCAGUUAGAGCCGCAAGUAACAGAAAUAGGCCUAUAACGGCCAUAACAUAACAGUAACAGCCAAGCGCUACGCAAAUUUUUUUGAAAAG